AACGAACGCUGGCGGCAUGCUUAACACAUGCAAGUCGAACGAAGUCUUCGGACUUAGUGGCGCACGGGUGCGUAACGCGUGGGAAUCUGCCCUUGGGUACGGAAUAACUCAGAGAAAUUUGUGUUAAUACAGCUUAAUGUCUUCGGACCAAAGAUUUAUCGCCCAAGGAUGAGCCCGCGUAAGAUUAGCUAGUUGGUGGGGUAAAAGCCUACCAAGGCGACGAUCUUUAGCUGGUCUGAGAGGAGGAUCAGCCACACUGGAACUGAGACACGGCCCAGACUCCGACGGGAGGCAGCAGUAGGGAAUAUUGGACGAUGGGCGAAAGCCUGAUCCAGCAAUGCCGCGUGAGUGAUGAAGGCCCUAGGAUUGUAAAGCUCUUUUACCAGAGAUGAGAAUGACAGUACCUGGAGAAUAAGCUCCGGCUAACUCCGUG
Molecule: ribosomal RNA, 433 nt
Filed under: uncultured bacterium
Lineage: Bacteria
Description: partial 16S ribosomal RNA
Rfam family: Bacterial small subunit ribosomal RNA
Source: RNAcentral